CCUACGGGAGGCUGCAGUGAGGAAUAUUGGUCAAUGGACGAGAGUCUGAACCAGCCAAGUAGCGUGAAGGAUGACUGCCCUAUGGAUUGUAAACUUCUUUUAUAUGGGAAUAAAAUGUUCCACGUGUGGGCUUUUGUAUGUACCAUAUGAAUAAGGAUCGGCUAACUCCGUGCCAGCAGCCGCGGUAAUACGGAGGAUCCGAGCGUUAUCCGGAUUUAUUGGGUUUAAAGGGAGCGUCGGUGGAUUGUUAAGUCAGUUGUGAAAGUUUGCGGCUAAACCGUAAAACUGCAGUUGAAACUGGCAGUCUUGAGUAGAGUAGAGGUGGGCGGAAUUCGCGGUGUAGCGGUGAAAUGCUUAGAUAUCACGAAGAACUCCGAUUGCGAAGGCAGCUCGCUGGACUAAAACUGACACUGAGGCUCGAAAGUGUGGGUAUCAAACAGGAUUAGAUACCCGGGUAGUC
Molecule: ribosomal RNA, 460 nt
Filed under: uncultured bacterium
Lineage: Bacteria
Description: partial 16S ribosomal RNA
Rfam family: Bacterial small subunit ribosomal RNA
Source: RNAcentral